ACGGAAGGCAGCAGUGGGGAAUAUUGGACAAUGGGGGAAACCCUGAUCCAGCGACGCCGCGUGAGUGAAGAAGUAUUUCGGUAUGUAAAGCUCUAUCAGCAAGGAAGAAAAUGACGGUACUUGACUAAGAAGCUCCGGCUAAAUACGUGCCAGCAGCCGCGGUAAUACGUAUGGAGCAAGCGUUAUCCGGAUUUACUGGGUGUAAAGGGAGCGUAGACGGCUUUGCAAGUCUGAAGUGAAAGCCCGGGGCUCAACCCCGGAACUGCUUUGGAAACUGUAGAGCUAGAGUACAGGAGAGGUAAGCGGAAUUCCUAGUGUAGCGGUGAAAUGCGUAGAUAUUAGGAGGAACACCAGUGGCGAAGGCGGCUUACUGGACGAUAACUGACGUUGAGGCUCGAAAGCGUGGGGAGCAAACAGGAUUAGAUACCCUGGUA
This 434-nucleotide ribosomal RNA is filed under the name uncultured Lachnospiraceae bacterium. Its description in RNAcentral is "partial 16S ribosomal RNA". It matches the Rfam family "Bacterial small subunit ribosomal RNA", at positions 341 to 792 of the family's 1533-position model. Lineage: Bacteria; Bacillati; Bacillota; Clostridia; Lachnospirales; Lachnospiraceae. The record is from RNAcentral.